AGAUUGAACGCUGGCGGCAUGCCUAACACAUGCAAGUCGAACGGGAGUAGCAAUACUCUAGUGGCGGACGGGUGAGGAAUACGUAGGAAUUUGCCCUUAAGUGGGGGAUAACCCGGGGAAACCCGGAUUAAUACCGCAUGACCUCGAAAGAGCAAAGUGGGGGAUCGCAAGACCUCACGCUUUUGGAGAAGCCUACGUCGGAUUAGCUAGUUGGUGAGGUAAUGGCUCACCAAGGCGACGAUCCGUAACUGGUCUGAGAGGAUGAUCAGUCACACCGGAACUGAGACACGGUCCGGACUCCUACGGGAGGCAGCAGUGGGAAUAUUGCGCAAUGGCCGAAAGGCUGACGCAGCGACGCCGCGUGGCGGGAGGAAGGU
This 377-nucleotide ribosomal RNA is filed under the name uncultured soil bacterium. Its description in RNAcentral is "bacterial SSU rRNA". It matches the Rfam family "Bacterial small subunit ribosomal RNA", at positions 26 to 415 of the family's 1533-position model. The record is from RNAcentral.